Triplophysa dalaica is the source of this 1060-nucleotide long non-coding RNA. RefSeq lists it as uncharacterized. The transcript is spliced from 3 exons. The record is from RefSeq and is a predicted model, not a curated record. Lineage: Eukaryota; Metazoa; Chordata; Actinopteri; Cypriniformes; Nemacheilidae.
CAGAAACAGAAUGGACGGAGGGGUUUUCAGUGAGCUAGGACAAAAUGUUGGAUUUAAUCUGAGAAACAAGAAUUUUCCUUGCUUUGAGUUUAACAGCUCCUCAGAAGCUCCAGCCCACAUAACACGGUGCUGGUUUGUAAAAUAUCCCACAUUAACCAGCAUCUUGGUUUGUGAUAUCCCAGAAAUCUUAUUUCCAUUAGGCAUCUGAGGGAGUGAGAUUUGUUUUGAGGGAAGGAAAUCACUUCACUCAAAAAAGUCCUGGACAACUCAAGAGAAGCUGUGAUGGAGCUGCUAAAGAGAAUCCUCUCCGUUGAUCUCUUCUCGAACUUACUGGAGCAUGAAGUGCCUCGCUGCACCUGCUAAAGUCAUUAAUAACCUGUAGAUUAGUUCCACAUGUAAAAAUGCUCCGGUGCACAAUGUCAGGUUCCAUAAAGCAGAACGCCGGGCAAGAAACCAUGUGAGAAAGUGAAGUCAUAUUUAAAGGCUUUGGAUUAUGGUGCAUUUGAAAGCACGAAAGGUAUGGCCCAUUUUAAAACAUUGGAUGAGAAGAAACAUUUUGCAGGUGGUCACACACGUGUUUACGUGCAUGUUUACAUUUAUGUGAAACUAUUAGUGGCAGGCAUUUCUUUUAAUUCACUGAUGCAUUUUGAUUUGUGGUUGAUAAGGACAUACUCACAAAGGAAUCAUCUGCAUCUCUGACAUCAUAGCACUGUGGGAGGCAACCUAUAGCUUGACCCUGAACAGUUGUCAAUGUAUGAAUGCACAUGCACUCUAUUCGCAGGGGGAUGUUGGGUCUAACUGUGCAUGCUCAUGCAGGCCUCCUCACACACACUGGCUUUGCUCCAGCAGGAUGAAUCAUGGCCUGGUGUGUGGGUGUCUAAUGCGGAGUCAGCUCAACGGUACUGGGAAUAAAGUUUAGGGGCUAAAACCGCACCCAAACAAAUCUCUUGCAUCCACACCCUGAACCCCUUGACAUCGCACACAUAUGCAUAUUAAAUACUAAAUAUAUGGCACAGAUAUAAAAUUGCGUACAUAAACACAAUAAAUUUAAAAUACAUCA